GUCCUGAUGGCUCAGUGUGUUGGAGUAUGGUUCUGACAACACAAAGGUUGUGGGUUCAAAUCCUGCUUGGGCUA
RNAcentral lists this transfer RNA (74 nucleotides) under Salmo salar (Atlantic salmon). It matches the Rfam family "tRNA". From Rfam's summary of the family: Transfer RNA (tRNA) molecules are approximately 80 nucleotides in length. Their secondary structure includes four short double-helical elements and three loops (D, anti-codon, and T loops). The record is from Rfam by way of RNAcentral. RNAcentral also lists the same sequence under 1 other name. Lineage: Eukaryota; Metazoa; Chordata; Actinopteri; Salmoniformes; Salmonidae.